RNAcentral lists this small nuclear RNA (21 nucleotides) under Arabidopsis thaliana (thale cress). RNAcentral describes it as "snRNA_06840". The record is from RNAcentral. Lineage: Eukaryota; Viridiplantae; Streptophyta; Magnoliopsida; Brassicales; Brassicaceae.
UUCCCUCCGAAGUUUCCCUCA